This is a long non-coding RNA of Pelodiscus sinensis (Chinese soft-shelled turtle), 1038 nucleotides long. RefSeq lists it as uncharacterized. The record is from RefSeq and is a predicted model, not a curated record. Lineage: Eukaryota; Metazoa; Chordata; Testudines; Trionychidae.
CUUUGCGUUACACUGUGUGACCAGCUGAAAGAAAAUAAGCAGGAACUGGUUGGAUGUGGUUUCACAGCCUUCAAAAAGAAGAGGAAAGUUUUUCCUUGGCAGUUUCUAGAAAAAUACCAUCACUGGAAGAACAAACUAGAUGAGUCUGAGACACCAAGUUUAGAUCCGGAUCUAGAUCUAAAACUAUUCAAAUCUCAGAAGCGUUUGGAGUCAGCAUUUUGGUUCGAGCUCCUUAUAGAGCGGGGGGUCAGCAGCAUAGUUCAAACUAGGAGUGUGGAGACUGGACGUGGGAGACACCGGCUCGAAGUAGGCACCCUGCUGAUGAAAGGACUAAUUCCCCGGAGCUACCAGCACGAGGCGCCGCAGCAGUGAAUCCGGCUCCAUGACAAGGGGAUGGGGAACGAAGAUAUUGACAUGGCCAAGGUCACACAGGAAAUCGGUGGCGGAGCAGGGAAUUGUACCUGUGUCUUCCAAGACCCAAAUAGGCACCUUAAUCACUGGGCCAUUCCCCCUCUCAGAGGAUAUCUCCAAAGGACGCUGAAAGUAACACCGACUGUCCACGUGGCUCUCUCCUUUGGAGCAGUUUGAAAGGUGACAGACAUACCCAUGCCGGCUUCAGCAUAUUUGGGAAGAUAAAGAGAUCCCAAGGAUCAUCAAUAAAACACUUGGAUCCACCACGAAUCUCCCGUAAUUCACUUUUUCAGAGAUUAGCAUAUGGAGUUCUGGCAGUCAUUUGAUCUUAAUUAUUCAGUUGCAUUGUCUUACGCAGACUGCUACAUUUGUAUACUAAAUUUGCAAUAUCUAACACCAAAGAGUCAAUAUUCUUCCUGUAAAAAAGCGUGGAUGAAACCCUGACCUCAUUGAAUUCAAUGGCAAAACUCAUACAGACUGCAACAAGACUAGAAUUGUAAUCGUUAAUUGCUGUCCCUCUCCAGUUACAAUUAUUUUUAAACAACCUGGCUUUUCCCACUCAUGCGCUCACCCUCUUAGGAGAGAGGGCACUGUACAAUUUAAGUACUGUAUUUACUGCAAGUUCUU